AGGAACAUAGCAUAGUGGCCUAAUGCACACGGCUGAUAACCGUGAGAUCGUCAGUUCAAAUCUGACUGUUCCUA
RNAcentral lists this transfer RNA (74 nucleotides) under Synechococcus phage S-CRM01. It matches the Rfam family "tRNA". From Rfam's summary of the family: Transfer RNA (tRNA) molecules are approximately 80 nucleotides in length. Their secondary structure includes four short double-helical elements and three loops (D, anti-codon, and T loops). Lineage: Duplodnaviria; Heunggongvirae; Uroviricota; Caudoviricetes; Pantevenvirales; Kyanoviridae. The record is from Rfam by way of RNAcentral.